This 1133-nucleotide small RNA is filed under the name Pongo abelii (Sumatran orangutan). RNAcentral's name for it is "retained intron". The record is from RNAcentral. Lineage: Eukaryota; Metazoa; Chordata; Mammalia; Primates; Hominidae.
GUAGUUUCCGCACCGCUGACGCAUGCCUGCGCGCACAGCUGGGCCGGGCGCGUCCUACGCAGCAGCCGCGAGCCGGGCUGCGGGUGCCAGACGGUUCCCGGCGGGGGGCAGGGGCGGGGCGCCGCAGGAGGCCGGGACUCCUGGCGGAGGAGCCCCAAGGAGGCCCGCCUGACGACUGACCAGUUGCCAUGGCAUCCUACUACGAGAUCCUAGACGUGCCGCGAAGUGCGUCCGCUGAUGACAUCAAGAAGGCGUAUCGGCGCAAGGCUCUCCAGUGGCACCCAGACAAAAACCCGGAUAAUAAAGAAUUUGCUGAGAAGAAAUUUAAGGAGGUGGCCGAGGCAUAUGAAGUGCUGUCUGACAAGCACAAGCGGGAGAUUUAUGACCGCUAUGGCCGGGAAGGGCUGACAGGGACAGGAACUGGCCCAUCUCGGGCAGAAGCUGGCAGUGGUGGGCCUGGCUUCACCUUCACCUUCCGCAGCCCCGAGGAGGUCUUCCGGGAAUUCUUCGGGAGUGGAGACCCUUUUGCAGAGCUCUUUGGUGAGUGGACUCUGGAAGCCUCGGAAUGGCUCAACUUCCCCUCCAGGCCUGUCCUUCCAUCAGCUGGGAGGCCCUGAGGUGGAAGGCUGAGAGGGGACGGGAAUGCCACGGACAGAAGAUUUUGUGGAGCUGGGUCCAGUGAGAGCUGGGACAGAACCUCACGUGUGCCAGAACCCCUGUGAUCCAACAGUGACACUUCACAGACUCACCUUAUUAAAUUACAACAAUAAUACAUUGCUAGACUUCUAUAGUAACAGCCAUGAAAGCAAGACUCAAAGCAUCUUGUGACAAUAUUGUUAUUACCUAUAAAACAUACUGGUAUUUUUUAGUGAUAGAUAUAUGCCAAAUAUUUUACAUUUCCUAAGUCUCUAGUGAACCCUGACAGGUGGGCAAUUUUAUCCCCAUUUGCAGAUGAGAAAACUGAGGCACAGUUAAUAGCCCAGAGUCACAUAACACAUGGCAGAGCUGGACUCCUAGCUGUGUCUGCCUGUCAUCGCGUCAUGAUGAUUUGCCUGUACUGAAAGAGCCAUCUGUCCUCCAUCCCUCUUCCCCCUCCUUCCUUCCUUUAUUCUUUAUUGUGGACAGAAUUAACC